AGUCGUAACAAGGUCUCCGUUGGUGAACCAGCGGAGGGAUCAUUACCGAGUUUACAACUCCCAAACCCCUGUGAACAUACCUAUACGUUGCCUCGGCGGAUCAGCCCGCGCCCCAUAAAAAGGGACGGCCCGCCCGAGGACCCCUAAACUCUGUUUUUAGUGGAACUUCUGAGUAAAACAAACAAAUAAAUCAAAACUUUCAACAACGGAUCUCUUGGUUCUGGCAUCGAUGAAGAACGCAGCAAAAUGCGAUAAGUAAUGUGAAUUGCAGAAUUCAGUGAAUCAUCGAAUCUUUGAACGCACAUUGCGCCCGCCAGUAUUCUGGCGGGCAUGCCUGUUCGAGCGUCAUUUCAACCCUCAAGCUCAGCUUGGUGUUGGGACUCGCGGUAACCCGCGUUCCCCAAAUCGAUUGGCGGUCACGUCGAGCUUCCAUAGCGUAGUAAUCAUACACCUCGUUACUGGUAAUCGUCGCGGCCACGCCGUAAAACCCCAACUUCUGAAUGUUGACCUCGGAUCAGGUAGGAAUACCCGCUGAACUUAAGCAUAUCA
RNAcentral lists this ribosomal RNA (549 nucleotides) under uncultured fungus. RNAcentral's name for it is "eukaryotic LSU rRNA". The stretch from base 195 to 348 matches the Rfam family "5.8S ribosomal RNA". The record is from RNAcentral. Lineage: Eukaryota; Fungi.